CUCGGACAGAAGAGACGUGACUUGUGCUGAGAGACAACUGAGCCUCGGGAUGAAGAUCGGACGCAGAGAUAGGCUGCCUUGUCUGCUGGCCGCCGCCUUGCCUGCUCGCCGCUGCCUUGCCUGCUGCUAGCCGCUGUCUAUCUGUCUGCUGUCUACUACACCAUCAUUUAUAUGUUGUGAGUGUUGUGUUGUAGAGUAGGAUUAUAUAUGGGUAUAUUCUGUGUUAAUAAAUUGGUUAAAAUGU
This is a long non-coding RNA of Penaeus monodon (black tiger shrimp), 244 nucleotides long. RefSeq lists it as uncharacterized. The record is from RefSeq and is a predicted model, not a curated record. Lineage: Eukaryota; Metazoa; Arthropoda; Malacostraca; Decapoda; Penaeidae. The transcript is spliced from 2 exons.